Non-coding RNA from Vicugna pacos (alpaca), 380 nucleotides. Lineage: Eukaryota; Metazoa; Chordata; Mammalia; Artiodactyla; Camelidae. The record is from RefSeq and is a predicted model, not a curated record.
CUUUUGGAACUUCUGGAAAAGUCCCUGUGCUGAGGACCGCUGAAUCUGAGAAGAGUCAGGAGCAGAGCUGGAAACCACUUUUCCGCACCCCCUCUUCCCAGGCUGGGGACCCUUUCCUUCCCCAGGAUGUCGUGGUUGCAUCGCCCUCCGCUGUCUGGUUUCUUCAGGAAGCAGUGGGAUCAUAGGAGGCUCCCUGGUCCUCAUCUUGAAGGCUAGCAACUAGGCAUCUCCCAGCUGUCAUCCUCCAGCUCAUCAGUGUUUCAGAGAGCUGAUGGAGCGCACGGACAGGAGUAUGUGGGUACCCAGGCUAGCAAAGGAAAUUAACUGCAGUGGCAUGGGGAGCCCACUCCCACCCUGGCCAGUCGGCUGCAGCAGCCCCA